Molecule: transfer RNA, 69 nt
Filed under: Hordeum vulgare
Lineage: Eukaryota; Viridiplantae; Streptophyta; Magnoliopsida; Poales; Poaceae
Description: tRNA-OTHER
Source: RNAcentral
AGCGCAGUGUAGUGGUUUGCAGCGUGGUUGUUGAUCACGCGGUCGUGGGUUCGAGUCCCCGCGGCGCCA